Molecule: ribosomal RNA, 594 nt
Filed under: Triticum aestivum (bread wheat)
Lineage: Eukaryota; Viridiplantae; Streptophyta; Magnoliopsida; Poales; Poaceae
Description: partial small subunit ribosomal RNA
Source: RNAcentral
CUCACUAGGCUUAACUUUGGGAUAAUCACCCUCAUCCCCAAAGUUACGGGUGCAUCGGAUAUCCGUCAAUUCCGCCCGAUCACGGUGAUCAAUGUCAUUUUCCGCCUUCUUGCGAAGGGGUACGCCAAUAGGGUGGCCCCAAUAGCUAACUGGAUCACUCACCCGGAUCAGUCGACAUUUAUCUAGGGCCGCUAUAUCCUUGAAGGAGUCCUAGUGUUUCACGAAGCACUCCAUGAGGUCCACUCCAAACACCUCAAGGCGGUCUUCCUGAAACUAGACUUCCACAAGGCAUAUGACAUGGUCAGCUGGACCUUCCUUCGGGAAUGCCUGCUCCGGAAGGGCUUCGACGACCAUUGGGUGACCUGCAUGAUGCAAAUGUUCACCUCGGGUCGGACCGUGGUUAACAUAAACGAUGAGAUUGACCCAUACUUCCCCACCUUUUGUGGGGUGCGUCAGGGUGAUCCUUUCUCCCCGUUCCUCUUCAGCAUGGUGGUUGUGUUGGGGAAGGUAGUAAUUUCAAAAAAAAUCCUACGCACAUGCAAGAUCAUGGUGAUGCAUAGAAACGAGAGGGGAGAGUGUGUCCACGUACCCUAG